GACGAACGCUGGCGGCGUGCCUAAUACAUGCAAGUCGAGCGCAGGAAAUCGACGGAACCCUUCGGGGGGAAGUCGACGGAAUGAGCGGCGGACGGGUGAGUAACACGUAAAGAACCUGCCCUCAGGUCUGGGAUAACCACGAGAAAUCGGGGCUAAUACCGGAUGGGUCAUCGGAACGCAUGGUCCGAGGGUGAAAGGCGCUUCGGCGUCGGCUGGGGAUGGCUUUGUGGUUCAUUAGCUAGUUGGUGGGGUAAUGGCCCACCAAGGCGACGAUGCAUAGCCGACCUGAGAGGGUGAUCGGCCACACUGGGACUGAGACACGGCCCAGACUCCUACGGGAGGCAGCAGUAGGGAAUCUUCCACAAUGGACGAAAAUCUGAUGGAGCAACGCCGCGUGAACGAUGAAGGCCUUCGGGUCGUAAAGUUCUGUUGUAAGGGAAGAACAAGUGCCGCAGGCAAUGGCGGCACCUUGACGGUACCUUGCGAGAAAGCCACGGCUAACUACGUGCCGGCCGCCGCCGUAA
RNAcentral lists this ribosomal RNA (524 nucleotides) under uncultured bacterium. RNAcentral's name for it is "partial 16S ribosomal RNA". It matches the Rfam family "Bacterial small subunit ribosomal RNA", at positions 28 to 523 of the family's 1533-position model. The record is from RNAcentral.